CCUACGGGGGGCAGCAGUGAGGAAUAUUGGUCAAUGGACGAGAGUCUGAACCAGCCAAGUAGCGUGAAGGAUGACUGCCCUAUGGGUUGUAAACUUCUUUUAUAUGGGAAUAAAAUGUUCCACGUGUGGGAUUUUGUAUGUACCAUAUGAAUAAGGAUCGGCUAACUCCGUGCCAGCAGCCGCGGUAAUACGGAGGAUCCGAGCGUUAUCCGGAUUUAUUGGGUUUGAAGGGAGCGUAGGUGGAUUGUUAAGUCAGUUGUGAAAGUUUGCGGCUCAACCGUAAAAUUGCAGUUGAAACUGGCAGUCUUGAGUACAGUAGAGGUGGGCGGAAUUGUGGUGUAGCGGUGAAAUGCUUAGAUAUCACGAAGAACUCCGAUUGCGAAGGCAGUUCACUGGACUGCAACUGACACUGAGGCUCGAAAGUGUGGGUAUCAAACAGGAUUAGAUACCCGAGUAGUC
This 459-nucleotide ribosomal RNA is filed under the name uncultured bacterium. RNAcentral's name for it is "partial 16S ribosomal RNA". It matches the Rfam family "Bacterial small subunit ribosomal RNA", at positions 338 to 795 of the family's 1533-position model. The record is from RNAcentral.